Molecule: transfer RNA, 72 nt
Filed under: Rhexinema sarcinoideum
Lineage: Eukaryota; Viridiplantae; Chlorophyta; Ulvophyceae; Ulotrichales; Helicodictyaceae
Description: tRNA-Arg
Rfam family: tRNA
About the family: Transfer RNA (tRNA) molecules are approximately 80 nucleotides in length.
Source: RNAcentral
GGGUUUAUAGUUUAGUGGAUAAAAUUUACGUUUCCGAAAUGUAAAACACGGGUUCGAGUCCCGUUAAACCCU